GACAGAGGUGCCGAGCGUUAGGCGGAAUCACUGGGCUUAAAGCGUGUGUAGGCGGAUUCCUAAGUACCUUGUGAAAUCCCACGGCUUAACCGUGGAACUGCUUGGUAUACUGGGUGUCUUGAGCCAACUAGGGGCGACCGGAACAAACGGUGGAGCGGUGAAAUGCGUAGAGAUCGGAAAGAACACCAACGGCGAAAGCACUCUGCUGGGCCGACACUGACACUGAGAGACGAAAGCUAGGGGAGCGAAUGGG
RNAcentral lists this ribosomal RNA (253 nucleotides) under uncultured bacterium. RNAcentral describes it as "partial 16S ribosomal RNA". It matches the Rfam family "Bacterial small subunit ribosomal RNA", at positions 524 to 776 of the family's 1533-position model. The record is from RNAcentral.